RNAcentral lists this non-coding RNA (595 nucleotides) under Stegodyphus mimosarum. RNAcentral's name for it is "eukaryotic small subunit ribosomal RNA". It matches the Rfam family "Eukaryotic small subunit ribosomal RNA", at positions 4 to 605 of the family's 1831-position model. The record is from Rfam by way of RNAcentral. Lineage: Eukaryota; Metazoa; Arthropoda; Arachnida; Araneae; Eresidae.
CUGGUUGAUCCUGUCAGUAGUCAUAUACUUGUCUCAAAGCCGUGCAUGUCUAAGUACAUGUCGUAUUAAGGCCAAACAGCGCAUUUCUUAUUCAAUCAGUUAUGCUUUCUUGGACUGUACCUUACUACUUGGAUAACUAUGGCAAUUCUAGAGCUAAUACAUGCAGCAGAGCUCCGACCCUCUGGGGACGAGCGCUUUUAUUUGACCAAAACCAAUCGGACAUCGUGUCCGUAUUAUGUGGUGACUCUGUACAACAUUGGGCUGAUCGCGCAGGCUCGUCCUGACGACGUAUCAGUGUCUGCUUCUAAAUUGUCGAUGGUAGGUUACGCGCCUACCAUGGUCGUAAGGGGUGACGGGGAAUCAGGGUUCGAUUCGGGAGAGAGAGCCUUAGAAACGGCUACCACAUCCAAGGAAGGCAGCAGGCGAGCAAAUGACUCACUCCCAGAAAGAGGAGGUAGUGACAAAAAAAUAACAAUACGGGGCUCUUUUUGAGACCCGUAACUGGAAUGAGUACACUCUAAUUCCUUUAACGAAUUUCACAAAUAAUUUCACUAAAAUUAUUUACAUAUAUACAAAAUACGUAACAGUAUUUUUU